GACGAACGCUGGCGGCGUGCUUAACACAUGCAAGUCGAACGAAGAGCGAUGGAAGCUUGCCUCUAUCAAUCUUAGUGGCGAACGGGUGAGUAACGCGUAAUCAACCUGCCCUUCAGAGGGGGACAACAGUUGGAAACGACUGCUAAUACCGCAUACGAUCUAAUCUCGGCAUCGAGGAAAGAUGAAAGGUGGCCUCUAUUUAUAAGCUAUCACUGAAGGAGGGGAUUGCGUCUGAUUAGCUAGUUGGAGGGGUAACGGCCCACCAAGGCGAUGAUCAGUAGCCGGUCUGAGAGGAUGAACGGCCACAUUGGGACUGAGACACGGCCCAGACUCCUACGGGAGGCAGCAGUGGGGAAUCUUCCGCAAUGGACGAAAGUCUGACGGAGCAACGCCGCGUGAGUGAUGACGGCCUUCGGGUUGUAAAGCUCUGUUAAUCGGGACGAAAGGCCUUCUUGCGAACAGUUAGAAGGAUUGACGGUACCGGAAGAGAAAGCCACGGCUAACUACGUG
Molecule: ribosomal RNA, 510 nt
Filed under: uncultured bacterium
Lineage: Bacteria
Description: partial 16S ribosomal RNA
Rfam family: Bacterial small subunit ribosomal RNA
Source: RNAcentral